RNAcentral lists this unclassified non-coding RNA (2100 nucleotides) under Hevea brasiliensis (rubber tree). Lineage: Eukaryota; Viridiplantae; Streptophyta; Magnoliopsida; Malpighiales; Euphorbiaceae. The record is from RNAcentral.
AGGGAGGCCUUGGUCCCUCCGGGGGAUAAACUAUGUAUGAACGCUUCAUGACAAAACAAAAACAAGAGCUUAUUGGUUGCAAAAAUGGAUCAAAUUAAGGAAAUGUAAACUAAAGGGAAAAAAAUUUAAACAUAAACCUAAGGCAGAUAACAUGGUUUAAAAGACAUUGCUAAAAGAAAAAUAAUAGUUACACUGCAUGAGAAAUCAAUAAUAUAGCCAAGUUCAAGAUAUACUGCAUGAGAAAUCAGAGAUAUGAACAUACUAUCCAUUGCUUACCACGCUAAUACAUGCUAAUUGCAACCACAUGAUUAUGUUGAAGCCCAUUCUACUGACAAGGAAAUUGUUAUGAAAUAUGGAACAUCAAGACCAAUUUCCAAAAGGUAACAAUUAGACCUCUAAAUCAAUUUCACUCAAAACAUCCAGAUAGUAUCAAACAACAAAUUGGAGAACUCAAAAUUAGGAAUUCAACCUCCUUCCAUACCUCUCCAUUCUACAUAUUAAAAAUAUUUCCUUCACAACGAACUUUAGUUCAGUAAGAAGGCCAGGUACUUGAGGCUAGUCAAGGUCUUGUCAUCUUGAGUAAGCAUAAAAUCUCCAAGCACUUAACUACUUGGCAGAAAGCAGUCCGUUUUGAUCCAUUACAAAGAAGUCUCAAAAAAUAUUCAGGAAUCAGCAAGAUGUCUACCUGUUUUCCCAGCCAUGAGGGAAACUGCCAUCUCCAAACUAAUGAACCAUCACUUUCCAAGCAAUAUUUGCCUCAUCAGUCGUUAUAGCCACAAAUAACAGAAACAUCCACAAGGUAAAAAUAAUAAGAGCUUCAUUACAGCCCCACGAAAAGAAUUAUCACUGAACUAUUUUUUAACAACUUGUACCAAAAGAAAUCACCUUCCAAAACAGCUCCAACCAAUAUGGCUUGGUUUAGCACCAUAGUCUUUUCUGUGAUCUCAUCAAACCACACUGCCUUGAAUAACUAGAAAAAAAUUGUCCGUACUUUGUCCUACGAUUGAUGGAGUUAAAACCUUGACCAAGGGGGCAACUUUUGGAUACUGUUUUUUUACAACCUAAAGGCCCAUUAUAUUUCCUGAGACCCUGAGAGAGUUACAAAAUACCAACAUCUAGUUGUGGGUUUCUAGUGCAGCAUCCACUAGAGAUAAAUACUGCAUCUUCCAUCAAAUCUUUCACAAUUGAAAACAUAUUGAAAUGUUAUUUCAAAAAGGCAAAAAAAAUGAAAUGUUUGUUUGGUCAUAUAGCCAUAAGUUAAAUCAUUAGAGAAUAUCAUAUUCAUAGUAAUAAAGAUUUGUUGAAAGCAAUAAUGUACCUUCCAGAAUACCAACUAAAAAUAAUAAUAAUAGAAGUUUAAAAAUAUAUAUAAAUAAAAAAGAAGAAGAAGCUGGGAUUGUCUGCCACAGAGAGAAUUCAUAGUUUUACUUUUCAUGCACUAACAUGUUAACUUUAGUUGAAAUAACCCAAUUUAAUAAGAUAACUAUGUAAAUCUUAUGCGUGUCUAAUAUUGAUUUGUAUAAAAGGGAAAUAAUUUAGUGUAAAUGAUAUGAUUGAAAUCUUAAUUGUUCACUCUGUUCAUCUCUUUCUUCCCUAAAUUCUUAUGUUCUUCUAUGUCUCUCCCCUUUCCUAGUUCAUUUCUCCUUUGGUUUGCAUCAAUAGUACCAGAGCCAACGAUACUCAGCUAUGGAUUUCUAACAAUAAGUCUUUUCUCCUCUUUCUCCUUUCUUAAAUCUAGGUUUCCUUCUUUUAUGUUCUUUCCAUCAAUUUCUCGUUUCUCAUUCUUCCUUCCAGUCUUCUUUGUAAUUUCUUGAGACUCUACUUAUCAAAUUCUUCAUCCCUAGAGAAACCCAUUUCACUUUUUCAAUCUUCCUUUCUGUAUUUUUUCUUUUCCUUUCCCCCAGAAAUAGAACGCCAUAAGAUUCAUUGUUUCUCGAACUUGCCCACCGUAAUUCUCAACUUUCUUGCAAAAUCAUCACUAUUCCCUUCAUCAAGAACCCAACAUUCUUGUUUUAUGAUUUCUUCUCGCACAAAAUGGAUUUUUUUCCCCGUUCAAUUACAAAAACUUUAUCGGAAUUGAAUGAUAGAAGAGUUAGAGGU